This 301-nucleotide ribosomal RNA is filed under the name uncultured bacterium. Its description in RNAcentral is "partial 16S ribosomal RNA". It matches the Rfam family "Bacterial small subunit ribosomal RNA", at positions 509 to 807 of the family's 1533-position model. The record is from RNAcentral.
CAGUAGCCGCGGGAAUACGGAGGGUGCAAGCGUUAAUCGGAAUUACUGGGCGUAAAGCGCACGUAGGUGGUUUGUUAAGUUGGAUGUGAAAUCCCCGGGCUCAACCUGGGAACUGCAUCUGAAACUGGCAAGCUAGAGUAUUGUAGAGGGGGGUGGAAUUUCAGGUGUAGCGGUGAAAUGCGUAGAGAUAGGAAGGAAUACCAGUGGCGAAGGCGACCACCUGGACUGAUACUGACACUGAGGUGCGAAAGCGUGGGGAGCAAACAGGAUUAGAUACCCCGGUAGUCCCUGUCUCUUAUAC